AUGAACGCUGGCGGCGUGCCUAAUACAUGCCAGUCGAGCGGACAGACGAGGAGCUUGCUCCUCUGACGUUAGCGGCGGACGGGUGAGUAACACGUGGAUAACCUACCUAUAAGACUGGGAUAACUUCGGGAAACCGGAGCUAAUACCGGAUAAUAUAUUGAACCGCAUGGUUCAAUAGUGAAAGACGGUUUUGCUGUCACUUAUAGAUGGAUCCGCGCCGCAUUAGCUAGUUGGUAAGGUAACGGCUUACCAAGGCAACGAUGCGUAGCCGACCUGAGAGGGUGAUCGGCCACACUGGAACUGAGACACGGUCCAGACUCCUACGGGAGGCAGCAGUAGGGAAUCUUCCGCAAUGGGCGAAAGCCUGACGGAGCAACGCCGCGUGAGUGAUGAAGGUCUUCGGAUCGUAAAACUCUGUUAUUAGGGAAGAACAAAUGUGUAAGUAACUAUGCACGUCUUGACGGUACCUAAUCAGAAAGCCACGGCUAACUACGU
This 495-nucleotide ribosomal RNA is filed under the name uncultured bacterium. RNAcentral's name for it is "partial 16S ribosomal RNA". It matches the Rfam family "Bacterial small subunit ribosomal RNA", at positions 29 to 506 of the family's 1533-position model. The record is from RNAcentral.